AGGACUAACGCUGGCGGCGUGCCUAACACAUGCAAGUCGAACGAGGGGUAGCAAUACCCCUAGUGGCAGACGGGUGAGUAACACGUAGUCAACCUACCUCUUAAUGGGGGAUAACUAGCCGAAAGGUUAGCUAAUACCGCAUACGAUCGUCGAGUGGCAUCACACGACGAUGAAAGGAGCAAUCCGUUGAGAGAGGGGACUGCGUCCCAUUAGUUAGUUGGUGGGGUAAUGGCCUACCAAGACUCCGAUGGGUAGCUGGCUUGAGAGAGCGACCAGCCACACUGGAACUGAGACACGGUCCAGACUCCUACGGGAGGCAGCAGUGAGGAAUUUUCCGCAAUGGGGGAAACCCUGACGGAGCGACGCCGCGUGUGGGGAAGAAGGCCUUCGGGUCGUAAACCACUGUCGAGGGGGACGAUAUUGACGGUACCCCUGGAGGAAGCCCCGGCUAACUACGCGCCAGCAGCCGC
This 470-nucleotide ribosomal RNA is filed under the name uncultured bacterium. RNAcentral describes it as "SSU rRNA". It matches the Rfam family "Bacterial small subunit ribosomal RNA", at positions 26 to 518 of the family's 1533-position model. The record is from RNAcentral.